RNAcentral lists this ribosomal RNA (253 nucleotides) under uncultured bacterium. RNAcentral describes it as "partial 16S ribosomal RNA". It matches the Rfam family "Bacterial small subunit ribosomal RNA", at positions 524 to 776 of the family's 1533-position model. The record is from RNAcentral.
UACGUAGGAGACUAGCGUUGUCCGGAAUUACUGGGCGUAAAGCGCGUGUAGGCGGCAUACCAAGUCUGUUGUGAAAUCGCCCGGCUCAACUGGGCGGGGUCAAUGGAAACUGGUAAGCUGGAGGACGGUAGAGGCGAGUGGAAUUCCCGGUGUAGUGGUGAAAUGCGUAGAGAUCGGGAGGAACACCUGUGGCGAAGGCGGCUCGCUGGGCCGAUCCUGACGCUGAGACGCGAAGGCGUGGGGAGCGAACGGG